AGACCAAAGAAGCUUAUAUCCCUUCCUUCCCAGACUCCAACGUCUCUUUCUCUAUCUCCCUCUCCACUGCUCUUCUCGCCUCCCUCUCUCACCGCCUCUCCACCACCGGCUCCGACGAUUUCCCUCGUUCGCCUUGUUCAGCAGCCGAUCUUCUCCUCUACCGCCUCUCUCUCGCUGCCUCACCACCCAUCUUACUCCCUCACCACCAAUCUCAGUGGAAUCCCCUAGCCAAGACCGACGGUGAUGGCGGCGGCGAUGGCAUCGUAUAUCUGAAGAUGGCCUUCACCGCCGCAUCCUCAUCCGCCUCCGCCUCCGCCUCCGCUUCCGCCGCCAAAAAACAACAAUGACAUUGAGAUCUCUAGAUCUACUCCAGGGAGAACAAGAUCGAACGGUCUUUUGGUGGAUUCGUUCUACCAUCACCACACCACCAUAUUCUCCUCUUCAUCCGCUGGUGGAUCCGCCAGAUCCGAGUAGAUCUGACCACUGUAGGCCCAUACAAGCUCUCUUUCUCUCUCUGAAAUCGUUAUCGAAUGUAGAAAACCAGACAUCCAAUUACACCUCCUUACUCAAUUAGCGGCUUGUAGAGAGUUUGGGCUCUGAGAAUCCAGAUUAUUUAGGAUUUUUGUUGUUGUUGUUGUUGUUGUUGUUUACUCUAUCUGUCUCUCGUUACAGAUCUGCGGAGAGAUCUAAAUCUCUACUUUUUUAGUUGUUGUUGUUGUUGUUGUUGAUGAUGAUGAUGAUGAUCAAGAAACAGAUUGCAACAGAUAAAAGAGGAGAGAUACUAAAAUUUUGAAUAGAUCAUAAAUUUUGGACAGAUCUGUUGAACAAAUAGAUUUUCAACAGAUUGAUUUUUUGUUGUUUAAUUUCAAUUUUAUUUGUACAGGUAAUGAAGAAAGAGAUAUAAUUCAAGU
Molecule: long non-coding RNA, 911 nt
Organism: Camellia sinensis
Lineage: Eukaryota; Viridiplantae; Streptophyta; Magnoliopsida; Ericales; Theaceae
Source: RefSeq, a predicted model, not a curated record